GAUGAACGCUGGCGGCGUGCUUAACACAUGCAAGUCGAACGAAGCACUUUAUUUGAUUUCCUUCGGGACUGAUUAUUUUGUGACUGAGUGGCGGACGGGUGAGUAACGCGUGGGUAACCUGCCUUGUACAGGGGGAUAACAUUUGGAAACGGCUGCUAAUACCGCAUAAGCGCACGGCAUCGCAUGAUGCAGUGUGAAAAACUCCGGUGGUAUAAGAUGGACCCGCGUUGGAUUAGCUAGUUGGUGAGGAAACGGCCAACCAAGGGGACGAUCCAUAGCCGACCUGAGAGGGUGACCCGCCACAUUGGGACUGAGACACGGCACAAACUCCUACGGGAAGCAGCAGUGGGGAAUAUUGCACAAUGGGCGAAAGCCUGAUGCAGCGACGCCGCGUGAGCGAAGAAGUAUUUCGGUAUGUAAAGCUCUAUCAGCAGGGAAGAUAAUGACGGUACCUGACUAAGAAGCACCGGCUAAAUACGUG
Molecule: ribosomal RNA, 481 nt
Filed under: uncultured bacterium
Lineage: Bacteria
Description: partial 16S ribosomal RNA
Rfam family: Bacterial small subunit ribosomal RNA
Source: RNAcentral